GCCAUUCUCGAUUUUGUGCCAACCAUUCUCCAUCCUAUUCAUCUUCUUCGUUCAAGCAAACCCUAGGAAAGCUGCUGUCGUGGCCCCUUUUUCGGUGAACCUCCAUUGCUUCGACGACCAUUCGUUCACCUCCACCGUUUUGGUUCGACAAAGAUCAGAGAAGGUCGAGCCACAAGUCACCAAUCGUGUAAAGUCUUUGAUGUUGGGGUUGAGAGCUGACGUUCUUUUGUCUGCAUUUUGCUUGUUCAACCCAGAUUCCGGUCAACCUCCAUCCGUCGCACAACAUUCAAGCGCAAACGAAGCCAUCGACGAGUGGUCACCGUCGCAUUUGUUUGCGCCUCAUCUCCGAUCGUGUUCCCCUUUCGUUGUUGACUUUACCAGACUCGAGCAGCUACCCAUCUUCGUGAGUAAUUGACUCUUAACCAAGAAAUUAUUAAUUUAGCUAAUCUUUCAAGUAAGAGAUUCUACUAUUAGACCCUCUACAGUAAAUUGAAGAACUUGCAUGUAUAUUUCUCUUGUUAUGCAUUAAUGUAGCCACGAUGCAUAAUAUGAAUGUUGUUAGGGAUGAUUGAUAUAGGUGGCUACAUAUGACUGAAAUAUGUUAUGAAUGAGACAUAUUAUGAUUUAGAUAUGUUAAGAUUGAGAUAUGUAUGCCUGAGAUAGGACAUUUAUGAUAUGCUGCAUGUGUAGACUAUAAUGUUCUAUUAGCUCUUGUCUCUUAAAGUCGUACCCAUAUGAGUGUCCCUCAAGAUCACCAUUUAUGUAUGACUGUGUGACGAACUUUUAUGAGUGAUUCGACAUAGUCACUUUCAG
RNAcentral lists this long non-coding RNA (813 nucleotides) under Cucumis sativus (cucumber). RNAcentral's name for it is "long non-coding RNA (CSAT_LNC001533)". Lineage: Eukaryota; Viridiplantae; Streptophyta; Magnoliopsida; Cucurbitales; Cucurbitaceae. The record is from RNAcentral.